UUUCCGUAGGUGAACCUGCGGAAGGAUCAUUCAUAAUAAAGUGUUUUAUGGCACUUUUUAAAAAUCCAUAUCCACCUUGUGUGCAAUGUUAGAUCUCGUCAAUCUUGGCGAGGUUUUUAUACACCAACUCAUUCUUUAACUAAUUUGUCUGAAAAAUAUUAUGAAUACUUAAUUCAAAAUACAACUUUCAACAACGGAUCUCUUGGCUCUC
Molecule: unclassified non-coding RNA, 211 nt
Filed under: plant metagenome
Description: partial contains small subunit ribosomal RNA, internal transcribed spacer 1, and 5.8S ribosomal RNA
Source: RNAcentral